UUGACGGGGGCCCGCACAAGCGGCGGAGCAUGCGGAUUAAUUCGAUGCAACGCGAAGAACCUUACCAAGGCUUGACAUACACCGGUAACGCCCAGAGAUGGGUGCCCCUUUGUGGUCGGUGUACAGGUGGUGCAUGGUUGUCGUCAGCUCGUGUCGUGAGAUGUUGGGUUAAGUCCCGCAACGAGCGCAACCCUCGUCCUAUGUUGCCAGCGGGUCAUGCCGGGGACUCAUGGGAGACUGCCGGGGUCAACUCGGAGGAAGGUGGGGAUGACGUCAAAUCAUCAUGCCCCUUAUGUCUUGGGCUUCACGCAUGCUGCAAUGGCCGGUACAAAGGGCUGCGAUACCGCGAGGUGGAGCGAAUCCCAGAAAGCCGGUCUCAGUCCGGAUUGGAGUCUGCAACUCGACUCCAUGAAGUUGGAAUCGCUAGUAAUCGCGGAUCAGCACGCCGCGGUGAAUACGUUCCCGGGCCUU
RNAcentral lists this ribosomal RNA (471 nucleotides) under uncultured Curtobacterium sp. Its description in RNAcentral is "bacterial SSU rRNA". It matches the Rfam family "Bacterial small subunit ribosomal RNA", at positions 910 to 1382 of the family's 1533-position model. Lineage: Bacteria; Bacillati; Actinomycetota; Actinomycetes; Micrococcales; Microbacteriaceae. The record is from RNAcentral.